This 653-nucleotide long non-coding RNA is filed under the name Glycine max (soybean). RNAcentral's name for it is "long non-coding RNA (GMAX_LNC004644)". The record is from RNAcentral. Lineage: Eukaryota; Viridiplantae; Streptophyta; Magnoliopsida; Fabales; Fabaceae.
UGUGUACAUAACCGUUCGGCAGGUUUCAUAAAAAAUUAGCACACCAAAACAUUAACUGCGUCAAGUAUGAGACCAUCUAUGAGAAUAUGAACUCUGAUAUUGGUGUAAGUGCUUUGUAAAUAAGCAUAAUCAGUAACUCAGUAUUUGAAGCUGUAACGUAUAUUUGAAAUAAUUAAAGCGUCUACCUAACUAAUGUUCUUAUGGCAUUGGUUAAGGAGAUAAAAAGAUAAAUCUUUUUGUAGAAAUUAUAGGAUAACACAAAAAUAACACUAUUAUGCAUUCCAACAAAUUUUUUUCUCAAGUGUUGUUGAAAAAGAUUUUUGAAAUUUAAUUCUUAGAAUGUAAAAUAAUAGAUUAGUUGUGACAUUAUCUUCUAUCUUAUGCCACUGCAAAAAAAAACAUGUACACUUACUUAAAUUGCUUCAAAGGUGGUUGUAAAGUACAAGACCAAAGUAAAAAUGGAAGAAAAAAGACAAGUUGUGCCUAUGAUAUAUACCUUUCCACUAGUGUAAUCAUCAGAAGAGCUCAGCAGCCUACGAUCAUGAUCAAUAUCAUCUCCACCCUCUUCUCCAUGUUUUUUCAGAAGUAGCUCCCCUUUCACCUUGGUAAGUUUCAAACCCGAGAAAUCAAAAGUAGAAGCGUGCCUAAUAAAC